Molecule: long non-coding RNA, 1124 nt
Filed under: Setaria viridis
Lineage: Eukaryota; Viridiplantae; Streptophyta; Magnoliopsida; Poales; Poaceae
Description: long non-coding RNA (SVIR_LNC011165)
Source: RNAcentral
UCUAAUCCUCGUGAAAUGUUGAAUUAACCUCUUCGAAAUGUUGAAUCAGGUUCACGGAUUGAUUAAUUAGUUAUAAGAAGAUAUUGAAGCAUAUUUCACACGUCGGAAAAUCUUGGUGAGGUGGAGAGGCAAUAAAAAAUAAUAUCUGAUUUUCGUGCAAUGUUGAGAUUGUUAAAUCAAGCGUAAGAAAAUAUCGAAGAGUAUUUGUGAAGGGAUAUUGGCUGCAAUAUAGGAGAUAACUAGCUUACAUAAGGGAGCCCCUUUUACGCCACCAACCUCUUCUUAGAGCCACCUAGGCCUCUUGGUCAACACAUUUCUCCUCCUUCCUCUGGUCUCUUCCAAUCCAGGGCAUAGCACCACCGCUUAAAAUUGAAUCAUGCGCAACUCCUCGCAUCUACGUGCAAGCUUGACCUGUCGUAAUCACCGCCCCCUCGUUUCCUCUCCCCACCUAUUCCUCCCUUUAAUCGUGCUACAAUGGUGGUAAUUACCAUGGAAAUUGCUGCUUCCUCCAUUGAGUCCGCCAUCCCAAUCUUCACAACGUAGGAACCGAUCAAGAUAACUAGCUAUAGAACACCUAAGAUAACUUGCUGCAAGCAACUAUAACUAGUGCAACCUGGCAAAUAAAACUCAAAGCCAACAACCUUAUUUAACCGGCAACCUGAAUCGAGGAUUCGCCCAACCACACUCUCAAAGAACCAACCAACACAACCCGGAAUCAAACGGACUAGGAGCACCAAUUGGGAGCUGAUGAAGCGGCCGCUUCUAUAAUCCCUUAAGGAAAUCACAAGAGCAAAGGGGUAGAUCACUCUCUGAAUUUGUUAGCACACAGCUGAACAAAAGGGGUUCAAUUUCAUUAUCAAAGUCUUCUGUAAUCUCUUGGAUACAAGGAUUAUUUAUAUUAGGAACAAUCCUCCUAGUUGGGUGUGAAUGGACCUUAGAGUUUCUGGAGUUAUGGUAACUCAAAGAUCACCACGAACUGAACUCCCGAAGAGCCUCACGUGGCUGUUGGCCUUCUAUGCAGUCUCCACUAAUUUGGUCAUAACUUUUUAUUGGGAACUCCAAAUGAUAUGUGGUUUCUUGAAUUGAAAACUAGACUUCAAGCCUGUUCCAUAAAGUACUCAUCG